Molecule: ribosomal RNA, 510 nt
Filed under: uncultured bacterium
Lineage: Bacteria
Description: partial 16S ribosomal RNA
Rfam family: Bacterial small subunit ribosomal RNA
Source: RNAcentral
GACGAACGCUGGCGGCGUGCUUAACACAUGCAAGUCGAACGAAGAGCGAUGGAAGCUUGCUUCUAUCAAUCUUAGUGGCGAACGGGUGAGUAACGCGUAAUCAACCUGCCCUUCAGAGGGGGACAACAGUUGGAAACGACUGCUAAUACCGCAUACGAUCUAAUCUCGGCAUCGAGGAUAGAUGAAAGGUGGCCUCUACAUGUAAGCUAUCACUGAAGGAUGGGAUUGCGUCUGAUUAGCUAGUUGGAGGGGUAACGGCCCACCAAGGCGAUGAUCAGUAGCCGGUCUGAGAGGAUGAACGGCCACAUUGGGACUGAGACACGGCCCAGACUCCUACGGGAGGCAGCAGUGGGGAAUCUUCCGCAAUGGACGAAAGUCUGACGGAGCAACGCCGCGUGAGUGAUGACGGCCUUCGGGUUGUAAAGCUCUGUUAAUCGGGAAGAAAGGCCUUCUUGCGAAUAGGGAGAAGGAUUGACGGUACCGGAAUAGAAAGCCACGGCUAACUACGUG